Molecule: ribosomal RNA, 497 nt
Filed under: uncultured bacterium
Lineage: Bacteria
Description: partial 16S ribosomal RNA
Rfam family: Bacterial small subunit ribosomal RNA
Source: RNAcentral
GAUGAACGCUGGCGGCGUGCCUAAUACAUGCAAGUCGAGCGAACAGACGAGGAGCUUGCUCCCCUGACGUUAGCGGCGGACGGGUGAGUAACACGUGGAUAACCUACCUAUAAGACUGGGAUAACUUCGGGAAACCGGAGCUAAUACCGGAUAACAUGUUGAACCGCAUGGUUUAACAGUGAAAGACGGUCUUGCUGUCACUUAUAGAUGGAUCCGCGCCGCAUUAGCUAGUUGGUAAGGUAACGGCUUACCAAGGCAACGAUGCGUAGCCGACCUGAGAGGGUGAUCGGCCACACUGGAACUGAGACACGGUCCAGACUCCUACGGGAGGCAGCAGUAGGGAAUCUUCCGCAAUGGGCGAAAGCCUGACGGAGCAACGCCGCGUGAGUGAAGAAGGUCUUCGGAUCGUAAAACUCUGUUAUUAGGGAAGAACAAAUGUGUAAGUAACUAUGCACGUCUUGACGGUACCUAAUCAGAAAGCCACGGCUAACUACGUG